CCUACGGGAGGCUGCAGUCGAGAAUCAUUCACAAUGGGGGAAACCCUGAUGGUGCGACGCCGCGUGGGGGAAUGAAGGUCUUCGGAUUGUAAACCCCUGUCAUGUGGGAGCAAAUUAAAAAGAUAGUACCACAAGAGGAAGAGACGGCUAACUCUGUGCCAGCAGCCGCGGUAAUACAGAGGUGUCAAGCGUUGGUCGGAAUCACUGGGCGUAAAGCGUGCGUAGGCGGUUUCGUAAGUCGUGUGUGAAAGGCGCGGGCUCAACCCGCGGACGGCACAUGAUACUGGGAGACUAGAGUAAGGGAGGGGGAACUGGAAUGCUCGGUGUAGGAGUGAAAUGCGUAGAUAUCGAGAGGAACACUCGUGGCGAAGGCGGGUUCCUGGACAUUAACUGACGCUGAGGCACGAAGGCCAGGGGAGCGAAAGGGAUUAGAUACCCCAGUAGUC
RNAcentral lists this ribosomal RNA (446 nucleotides) under uncultured bacterium. RNAcentral describes it as "partial 16S ribosomal RNA". It matches the Rfam family "Bacterial small subunit ribosomal RNA", at positions 338 to 795 of the family's 1533-position model. The record is from RNAcentral.